RNAcentral lists this long non-coding RNA (1019 nucleotides) under Macaca fascicularis (crab-eating macaque). Its description in RNAcentral is "lncRNA (ENSMFAG00000056856.1)". The record is from RNAcentral. Lineage: Eukaryota; Metazoa; Chordata; Mammalia; Primates; Cercopithecidae.
AAAUUGUAUGCAGUUGUCCCUAGGUAUCCUCAAAAGAUUGGUUUUAGGGCCGGGUGUGGUGGCUGUUGUGUUUUAUUUAAGUUCUUCUCCAUUGAUAUUUCAGCAUUUAAGUUCUUCUCCAUGGAUAUUUCAGCACUUAUGCCUAGCUAAUGUUUAAAUAUUUUUAGUAGAGUCAGGGUUUCACCAUCUUGCCCAGACUGGUCUCAAACUCCUGACCUCACGCAAUCCACCCUCCUUGGCCUCCCAAAGUGCUGGAAUUACAGGUGUGAGCCACUGCGCCCGGCCACUGUGUUUUAUUUAAGUUCUUCUCCAUUGAUAUUUCAGCACUCUCUGCAGUCAUUAGUGGGAACAAUACUUCUAGACAUUACUUCGAUCCCAUGACCAUAAAAUUCUUAAUGGAAAUGUAUAUGAAAGGAUCUGGGAAGUUUACUAAUCAUUAAAGAUUGGGGUUUCUGGUGAAUUUCCUAAGAUUUGAAUUUUCAAAAGGCACAAGAAACCUUUGCCAAAUCUAUUGACCCCUUUCAAUUAUGCAUUUCAUUAAGAACACCAAAAUAUAAGAGUUUUUUCCAUCCCUCUCCUAUUUAUCUCUUUGUCGCUGUUUCUCUCUGAAUCUCUCUGGGUUUCCUUCUUCUUCACUCUUUGUUUACUGUUUCUCUCUCUUUUCCCUAAGAUCUAGUGGACAUGUGAAAAUGAGUUUAGCUGAGGUGUAUUAACAAAGUUAGCCACCUUGCAGCCUCACUGGGAAAUAAAAUUCUAUUAAACACAACUGUCAUCAAAUUCAUUAGUGCCUCCUCCCCUUGCCUUCUUGCCAUUGGGUUGCUAACAAGUUACACUGUUUUUCUCUCUCCUCUCCAGUCCCCCUUUCUUGAGGUUUUGUUCUCUCCUUCCUCCUUUCUGCACCGCCUGCCCUGUUGGAGAUGCAUGGGCUGCCCCUGCGGCCACCACUGCCACCACCCCCCCAGCAGACAGAAAGGGUAAAAUGUCAAAAGAUGCGUCGGUUGCCUCUGACAAAAGUGCAG